GACAGAGGGGGCGAGCGUUGUCCGGAGUCACUGGGCGUAAAGCGCGCGCAGGCGGUCGCCAGAGUGUCGUGUGAAAGCCCCCGGCUCAACCGGGGGAGGCCAUGGCAAACUCGGCGACUGCAGCGGCGGAGAUGCCCCUCGAAUUGCCGGUGUAGCGGGGAAAGGCGUAGAGAUCGGCAGGAAAACCAAGGGGGAAGCCAGGGGGCUGUGACCUGGCUGACGCUCAGGCGCGACAGCGUGGGGAGGGAACCGG
RNAcentral lists this ribosomal RNA (253 nucleotides) under uncultured bacterium. Its description in RNAcentral is "partial 16S ribosomal RNA". It matches the Rfam family "Bacterial small subunit ribosomal RNA", at positions 524 to 776 of the family's 1533-position model. The record is from RNAcentral.